GACGAACGCUGGCGGCGUGCUUAACACAUGCAAGUCGAACGGAAAGGCCCUGCUUUUGUGGGGUGCUCGAGUGGCGAACGGGUGAGUAACACGUGAGUAACCUGCCCUUGACUUUGGGAUAACUUCAGGAAACUGGGGCUAAUACCGGAUAGGAGCUCCUGCUGCAUGGUGGGGGUUGGAAAGUUUCGGCGGUUGGGGAUGGACUCGCGGCUUAUCAGCUUGUUGGUGGGGUAGUGGCUUACCAAGGCUUUGACGGGUAGCCGGCCUGAGAGGGUGACCGGCCACAUUGGGCCUGAGAUACGGCCCAGACUCCUACGGGAGGCAGCAGUGGGGAAUAUUGCACAAUGGGCGGAAGCCUGAUGCAGUAACGCCGCGUGCGGGAUGACGGCCUUCGGGUUGUAAACCGCUUUCGCCUGUGACGAAGCGUGAGUGACGGUAAUGGGUAAAGAAGCACCGGCUAACUACGUG
This 468-nucleotide ribosomal RNA is filed under the name uncultured bacterium. Its description in RNAcentral is "partial 16S ribosomal RNA". It matches the Rfam family "Bacterial small subunit ribosomal RNA", at positions 28 to 507 of the family's 1533-position model. The record is from RNAcentral.